This 71-nucleotide transfer RNA is filed under the name Marmota monax (woodchuck). It matches the Rfam family "tRNA". From Rfam's summary of the family: Transfer RNA (tRNA) molecules are approximately 80 nucleotides in length. Their secondary structure includes four short double-helical elements and three loops (D, anti-codon, and T loops). Lineage: Eukaryota; Metazoa; Chordata; Mammalia; Rodentia; Sciuridae. The record is from Rfam by way of RNAcentral.
GUGGCUGUAGCUCAAUGACAGAGUGCUUAUCUAGCAUGUGUGAGGCACUGGGUUCGAUCCUCAGCACCACA